UAAGGAAUAUUGGUCAAUGGACGCAAGUCUGAACCAGCCAUGCCGCGUGAAGGAUGAAGGUCCUCUGGAUUGUAAACUUCUUUUAUCUGGGACGAAAACGGGAUUUUUAUCUCAAUUGACGGUACCAGAGGAAUAAGCACCGGCUAACUCCGUGCCAGCAGCCGCGGUAAUCCGGAGGGUGCGAGCGUUAUCCGGAUUUACUGGGUUUAAAGGGUGAGUAGGUGGGCUUAUAAGUCAGUGGUGAAAUCUCCGAGCUUAACUUGGAAACUGCCGUCGAUACUAUAGGUCUUGAAUUAUCUGGAGGUAAGCGGAAUAUGUCAUGUAGCGGUGAAAUGCUUAGAUAUGACAUAGAACACCAAUUGCGAAGGCAGCUUACUACAUAUAAAUUGACGCUGAGGCACGAAAGCGUGGGGAUCAAACA
RNAcentral lists this ribosomal RNA (421 nucleotides) under uncultured bacterium. RNAcentral describes it as "bacterial SSU rRNA". It matches the Rfam family "Bacterial small subunit ribosomal RNA", at positions 355 to 774 of the family's 1533-position model. The record is from RNAcentral.